Molecule: non-coding RNA, 1877 nt
Organism: Microcebus murinus (gray mouse lemur)
Lineage: Eukaryota; Metazoa; Chordata; Mammalia; Primates; Cheirogaleidae
Source: RefSeq, a predicted model, not a curated record
CUAAGUAGGCUCAGGCGGGUGAUGGGGUGGGAGGGCUCAGCAUAGACUGGCAGGAAAUGAGGACAGAGCCACGAGGCCAUCCGAAAGAGCAUUCCAGGCAGGGGGAAACAGCAAGUGCAAAGGCCCUGGGGUAGGAUGGUGCUGUGCCUGCUGGAGGAACACGUGGGAGGCCAGCAUGGUUCCGAGUGACCAAGGGGGAGAACAGUGGGAGUUGAGGAAAGAAAGACAGAAAGGCGGCAGAAGGAUGACCAUAUAACCUGGGCCAUAUGAGGCCACUGAAAGGACUUCUAGAUUUAAGCCACACGUUCAUGUUCUCGGAAAUGGCACUUUCCGUUGAAAUGCAACAAUUCCAAAGGAGCACUUUGCCUCCCUGGACCUCCUCCCUCACACUGGCUCUGCCUCCACCCCCCUCCUGCCCCAUCAGGACCUGCCGUUCCCGGGGUCCAGGCUCAACCUCCGAUGCGUCAGCUGUGAGUCACUGCUCUCUUUUACAGCCAGGAUUCAUUCAAUAAUAAGUUUGUCAAGACUGCAAACCCUGAAGACAGUGCACUGGCUCGUAGCAGGAACAGAAAAAUAAAACCUGGGGAGUUAAAUACUUGCAGAAAUACCAUUUUUGCAAAUACAGGUGGUGCCACUGCACGGACCCCAACAGCAUUGCCACGUGGGAGGACAAACACUGGGGAGAGGUCUGUGACCACGAGCUGAACAGUUACUGGCUCGGCCACCUCUGUGCCUGUUUGAUGCUGGUCCUGGAAGACGCAAUUAUUCACCUCUCUGCUGCAGUUGGGAACCAUAGAUUCUUCUCUGCCUAAAACCCAUAGAGUGAGUCAGAGGCAGAGCCAGAGAUAAAAUUUGGUCCGGCUGCUGAGCUGGGCCAUCUCCAUCUCCAGCCAAGAGCGGGGCUCCUUGCCCCCCUAAACUGUUGCUUAGUCACUCUGAGGCUAGCCAAAGUAGAUCGAGAUGUUUGCACGCUUGCCCACGGACUGGUGUCUCUGUGUUUGCACUUCUCUGAUUUCUUAGCUCACGGGCUGUGGCGAAUACAAGGCCCCUCUGCCAGUGUGCUCGGGACGGAUCACAUGCAGUCUGGAGGCAAAUGUUGGUCUGGAGUCAUUAACGCAAGAAAGACGUGGAAGUCUGCUCAGGGCCAGAUGAAUUGACUUGAAUUUGGUAGUUCUCUAUCCCUCUGUUUUCAGAUUUUGAGAAUGUUAAAAUUCUAAGUUUGACAAACAUCGCAUCCAGCUCUCAUUACGUACCGAGCUCUAUGCAAGCGUUAACUCGUGUCCUGCUUGCGACAGCCCCAUGCCAUUGUUGGGCGCCAUUCUCAUCUCCUCCUAUAGCUGGGGCCACCGGGGCACAGAGAGGUGGAGGGACAGGCCCAAGUCUCAGAGCUAGGGGGAAGCUGAGCAGGGUUAAACUCCGGCACUCUGGUUAAGCUCCAGAGUCUUGCUCUCACCCACGCCUCUGAAGUGCCAAUUUCGGGAAUGCGUCAGACGGACUGCCGGGAAAUGGCCCACUGCAAGAAGAGCAUUGACUGGAGCACUAGCUGACUGAUGGUCGACACCGCGCUCACAGGCGGCGCCGCUCUGUGGUGCUCUGAACAAGGGAAUUGGUCAUUUUGUCUGAGUUUUCAAAUUGAUUGUCCCAAAGCUGUUCAUAGUCGUCUCUUAUGACAUGAGAAGGCUCCAUCCUACAUAGACGAGGGAAAGGCAGUCUGGAUUCGCAGCAGGUGCUGGGAGGCUACUGCGAUCACCCAGGCGAGAAGCAAGGCGGCAUGGAUUGGGACAGUGGUGGCCCGGCUGGAAAGAAUGGACUGACAUAUACACUGGGAUUUGCUGAUUGCUUAAAUGUGGCUGGUGAAAGAGAGGGCAGAGUCUAAA